GGGCCUAUAGCUUAGCGGUAGAGCAAUUCCUGCCCUAACAGGAAGGGGCCUCAGUUCAAAUCUGAGUGGGCCUA
RNAcentral lists this transfer RNA (74 nucleotides) under Agrobacterium phage OLIVR1. RNAcentral describes it as "tRNA-Val". It matches the Rfam family "tRNA". Rfam says of the family: Transfer RNA (tRNA) molecules are approximately 80 nucleotides in length. Their secondary structure includes four short double-helical elements and three loops (D, anti-codon, and T loops). RNAcentral also lists the same sequence under 2 other names. The record is from RNAcentral. Lineage: Duplodnaviria; Heunggongvirae; Uroviricota; Caudoviricetes; Schitoviridae.